This 253-nucleotide ribosomal RNA is filed under the name uncultured bacterium. RNAcentral describes it as "partial 16S ribosomal RNA". It matches the Rfam family "Bacterial small subunit ribosomal RNA", at positions 524 to 776 of the family's 1533-position model. The record is from RNAcentral.
UACGUAUGGAGCAAGCGUUAUCCGGAUUUACUGGGUGUAAAGGGUGCGUAGGCGGCACAGCAAGUCAGAUGUGAAAGACCGGGGUUCAACCCCGGGGCUGCAUUUGAAACUGCCGAGCUUGAGUCCGGGAGAGGCAGGCGGAAUUCCUAGUGUAGCGGUGAAAUGCGUAGAUAUUAGGAGGAACACCAGUGGCGAAGGCGGCCUGCUGGACCGGAACUGACGCUGAGGCACGAAAGCGUGGGGAGCAAACAGG